This 3215-nucleotide unclassified non-coding RNA is filed under the name Penaeus japonicus. Its description in RNAcentral is "cell division control protein 6 homolog, transcript variant X3". The record is from RNAcentral. Lineage: Eukaryota; Metazoa; Arthropoda; Malacostraca; Decapoda; Penaeidae.
CCUCCCACACAGCUGAUGUAUCUCCUGUUUUCCCGCCAACCUCAGAAGCAUCAAGACCCAGGCGACGCUCUGACACGGAGGAGGAAUUUUACGUUUUUAAAGUCAAUUUUUACUUCAUUUGUGAUAUAUAAGACUGCUUAUAUAAAGAUGCCAACAAAACAAGAAAUCAUCAACUUCCCCAUCCGCAAGAGCCGCACAGCUAGCAUGAAGGCAGAAAAAACAGAAGAGAUCCUGCCAAUCAGAAGAAGCUCCAGGGCUCGCACUGUCAAAGAAAAUCUCUGUGAUAGUCCAAGGAGAUCAACAAGAGCAACUAAAGAUGCGUGUGACAGUCCUCGUAGGUCAUCUCGCAGAACAGAAACUCCUACAAGGGUCUCAAGAGCUGCGGCUCAAGAAACUGAUGUGCUUACUCCGAGCAAGAGGAAAGCAAACAUGUCUGAAGUCGAGCCUGAACACUUGAUGUGCAGUCCAAGUAAACAUCUGGUUGUUGAAUUGGCUCGAUUACCAGAAUCAAUAUCCAGCCCAGUCAAGUUGCCACUCAAAGUAUGUCGUCAGCUUCUCAACGAAGAUUCCAAACAGGAAAAUUCGGAGAACACACACAAAGUACUGCCAGACAAAACCAUUGAAGAUCUACCACUAAGCCCAGUUAAAUUUUAUCCAGCAGCAAAUUCUCCUGCAAAGAUUCAAAAUGGUUCAAAUAGCCCCCUUAAAUCAUCCAAUAUUAUCAAUAUUGCAAGUCCUAGGAAAAAUAUUAGCAGUUUGAUCUCUAGUCUUCAAAGUCCAUCUAAAUCCCCUGUAAAGUCUAUAAGGUUGGACAGUCCUGUUAAAUCACCAUUGAAACGCCUUGUACUGGAAAGAUCUGCCAAGUCCCCCUCGAAAGUGAUGAGCAGCCCAGCUAAAUCUCCCCUCAAACGGCUUGUUAUGGAUGGACCAAUGAAGUCACCCCUAAAGAAUUUAGAUUUUGGUAGUCCCAGGAGAUCGCCACGUAAGCUAGACCAGGAGAAUGCCCAGAGUCCACGUAGAACUCCAAGGAAACUUGCCAUGUCGCCACUGAAGUUUAGUAGUCCCUCCUCCAUGAUAUCAAAACUCUCACUGGCAAGCCCCACAAACAGUAGAAAGAAUGCAGCUGUUGGUAUCUCCAAGCCUAAUGUUACAGCAUACAGAGCAGUUCGUCAGAGUCUCAACACAGGAACUCCCACUACCUUGGUGUGCAGGGAGAAACAGGUGUCAGAAAUGGAGUCAUUUAUGAAGGAGCACCUUCUAAAUGUUAAGCCUGGAUCAUUGUAUGUCUCUGGAGCACCAGGGACAGGAAAGACUGCAUCUCUAAACUCAAUUAUUGAUAGUAUGAAGCUUCCAAGCAUCAAAAAGGUGUUCCUAAACUGCAUGACCCUUAGAACUGCCGGUGCCAUAUAUGCCAAGAUUGUGUCAGAGUUGGGCCUCCAGCAAAGAGGAACAGAGAGGGAAAACAUUAAGGCUAUAGAGAAGACUCUGACAUCUGGGAAGAAUCCAGUGCUAAUUAUGCUUGAUGAGAUUGACCAGCUUGACAGCAGGAACCAAGAAGUCCUCUACUCCAUCUUUGAGUGGCCAGCAUUAGCAGGAUCCAAGCUGGUGCUAGUGGGUAUUGCUAAUGCCCUCGACCUGACUGAUCGUAUAUUGCCCAGACUCCAAGCCAGGCCAACGUUCAAGCCCAAAUUGCUUCACUUCCCUCCAUACUCCAAAGCUGAAAUUAUUAAGAUCAUCAAUCAGAGAAUCCAAGAGGCAGGACUUGGAGACGUUCAGGUGAUAAAACCAACAGCUGUAAUGUUUUUAGCUGGCAAGGUAGCAUCUGUUGCUGGAGAUGUUCGCAAGGCUUUGGAUGUAUGUAGAAGAGCUGUGGAACUCUGUGAAAUACAGGCACGGAGGCAGAGCGUUUUAAAACCUACAAAUGGAAGUCCCUCCAAGUCUCCAACAAAGAGACCAAGCCCUCCCCCAAUGAAGAUGGUUGAGGUACCACAGGUAUUGGCCAUCUUUAACGAGGUAUAUGGGUCUCGCGUUAUCUCAGCUGUAACAGAUGCCCCAGAUAGCUUUCCUCUGCAACAAAAAGUGUUGAUAUGUAGUCUGCUCUUGAUUAUGAAGCAUGCCAAGUCAAAGGAUCUUAAUCUUGGCAAGUUCCAUGAUGUAUACACCAAAAUUUGUAAGAAACGGAAUCUUCCCGGCAUAGACCAGAGUGAAUUCCUGUCACUUUGCACGUUGCUGGAGUCUCGCGGGAUGCUCCAGAUUAAGAAAGCAAAAGAAAUUCGCAGUUCGAAGGUAAUUCUACGUCUUAAUGUUGACGAAGCAGAGCAGACCUUGGGCGACAGAAAUCUCUUGGUAGCGAUACUAGAAGAUAAGGAGAGCUUAGGAAAAUUAUGUAAGCAGUGAUUGAUUUGAUCACUGGGUUUUAGAGAACUCAUAAUGUGUAUAUAUACAGCAUCUCAUUCCCACUCAUUUCAUUAAAUAGGCAAUUUGAUCAUGGUCAUUUAUGAAUCAUUGAAUUUAUUUUAUACUGUGCCUUGAAUUUAUUGUAUGUUGUCUAUGACACAGCUUUUCUUGUGUUGGAUUGACUGUUGUCAUGUGUUUUAGCUCAGUGAAAGAAAUAAGAGAAGAUAUUGUUUUAAGUAUGCCUGCAUGUAUGUUGUUUUGAUGCCUAUGGUUGCAUGCCAAAGAUAUUGUUUUGUUGAAAAGGCAUAUGUGUGUCCGAUUGCUAUAUUGUAAAAAAUUUUUUUUUAUAAAGUGUGCAUGUUUUAAAAGCAAGAGGUGUGCAAAUGAGUUUGCAAUUUUCAGUACUAUUUUUUAAAUAUGAAUUUGAAGUUACAAUAUAGUUUUCAUACUAGACUCUAAUGAUCAUAUACAUUGAGAAUUAUUUAAAGAGUGAAAAGUAAUUAUAAACAAUGCACAGAAUGUACAUGGUGCUACAAAGGAUAAACAAAACUACUCUCAUGUACAUCUUGAAACUCAUUGUUUUAGUAUUGAUUAUAGCCUGGUAUGAUAAGGUAUAUAAUUUAUCUAUUUUUCUUGUUUAGGAAAGAAAUUAUUUCAGAAAUGAAAAAAAAAAUAGUCAAGAAUCAUUUCCCUGUGUAAAAGAUCUGUUCAUUUCUGUAAUUCAGCAUUGUCACUGAAGUAAAGAAUUAUUUUUUUUUUUAAAUAGACUUUAGGGCAAAGCAUGUCCAUAUUAUGUUUGAUAAUAAAGAAUGUUUUUA